Vidua macroura (Pin-tailed whydah) is the source of this 2433-nucleotide long non-coding RNA. RefSeq lists it as uncharacterized. The record is from RefSeq and is a predicted model, not a curated record. Lineage: Eukaryota; Metazoa; Chordata; Aves; Passeriformes; Viduidae. The transcript has 2 exons.
GCGCUGAGGGGACCGUGGGGUCACGGAACCAGGGAAUCACGAAAUCGCGGCGUCAUCGAGGUUGGAAGGGCAUCUACUGGUUUAAGAGCAUCUACUGUUUUAAGAGCAUCUACUGGUUUAAGAUCGUCUCUUCCACCCGUCAGCCCAGCACCGCCACUGUAACCCCUAAACCACCCCACCACGUCACCCAGGGACAGAUGCAGACGCCUCUUGAAGGCCCCGAGAGAGGGUGACUCCACCACGUUCCCGGGUAGCCCCUUCCGAGGUCUGACCGCCUGGACGGUGAAAAGUUUUUUCUAAUCUGUAACGUCGCGGCCCCGCUCGCCUCAGCGCUCGCUGUGCCCUCAGGAGGCGGCUGCCAUCCCUCGGCCCCUCAGAGGAUGGAAGGCAGGGCCGACAGGGAUGAGCAAGGGGCUGAGCAUCUCCCUGAGGAGGAGACGCUGCCGGAGCCAGGCUUGGCUAGUCUGGAGAAGGGAAAACUCAGAGAGAUCUCAUCAAUCCGUGCACAUAUCUCCAAGGAGUGUCAGAGGACAGUACCAGACUCUUUUCAGUGGUGCUCAGAGACAGAACAAGGAGCAAUGGUCAUAAACUAAAACACAAGAAAUUCUACCUCAACAUGAGGAAGAGCUAUCCAUUGAGCAGAGCACUGGACCAGCUGCCCAGGGAGGGCAUGGAGACUCCCUCUCUGGAAUAAUCCAAACCCUGGACGCAUUCCUGUGUCACCUGCUCAAGGUCCAUAAGCUUGGCACUGGCUGAGCGAGGCUGUGGAACAGGCAGGGUCUCAGCAGAGGUUCGACAGCCACCUCAGCCAAUCUGUGAGUCAGGUAACAAUGGAAGCGUGUGCUGAGAGGGGAUGGUUAUGUGUUCCCACACCUCACAGCAUCCCCUGCCACCCAUCCUCCCCGGGAUCCUCAAAAAUCCCUGGAGAAACACCCUGUUCCACUAUAACCUGAGAUUAGCUCAGUUGGUCAGGGCAGUGCCACUAACAGAAAGACUGUGGGUUCAAUCCUUGUAAGAGCCAUUCAUUUGAGGUUUGGACUUGAUGAUGCUCAUGGGUCCCUUUGAACUCAGAAUAUUCUGUGAUCUACAGAAGCCGUUCUGGUGUGCAAGGUCUUCUGGCUGACGUUUGCUGCGUUGCUUUGGUGACAUUCAGCUCAGCUGUAGGAACAUGUGUGGCCCCAUGCCACCAGGCCACGCGCUGUCCAAGCCACCCUGCGCAGCCCGCGGCUCCUAAAGCAUGAGGUAAUGGGGAGCUGGGAGCCAGCAUGAGGCAGGACUGCCAAAACCACAUGGAAACUGAGAGACAAGUGAUAAAGCAAAAGGCCUGUGAGCGUUAAGCUACAGAAAACACAGGAAAACUGGAGAGCAGCAGCAGUGUUGGAGGUGGCAGGAACAUUGCUGGUUCCAAAAUGAAGCUCUAGCUAAGCCUUGUGCAAUGGAGUUCCUUUCCAGCAGCAAGAUUUAUAUCUGGGUUUUGUUGCAACUGCGAUGGAUCGUUAAUGUUUUAUUUUUAUACAUAUCUUUAAUUUACAAUACCAUAUGUAGGUCAGGUUGUACUUUUGCGGGAGAUUUCCACCUGCUUCUCAUGUUCGCCUUGAUCUGAAAUGAAAUGCUUGCAAGUAGCUAUAAAAUGCACUCCUAAAUUAUCCACAGGACUCUCCCUCUGAGUCCAAGGCUAGUCAUGGUAACAGAUGGACUUCAGUCUGUCAUUAGGUCAUGUCUAAGCUGGAAGGAGCAUAAGUGUUCAGAAGGAACAAUGCAAAAUACAGAAGCCUGUGUCUUCACACUCAGAUAUGAGCCACGCAGUGAGCUGUGUUCUGGUUUGGCUCCCUUGGUCAGGGACAGCAAACAUUUGAAAGGAAGUUAAUCAGCCCCUCUGAAGGGAUUUUUACCAACAACAAGCCAUCAUCUAAAUGCAAAUGUGAUCUGAAUACCAAUAUGUACUUUCAGAGGAACUUUGGAAGAAAUACAGGUAACUGAAAGGAAAAAACAGGAUUCCUGGCCUGUUUACACCCAAAAGGAAUGAAAAUAUGUAGAGCCAGUAGAGCUGUAGCUGAAAAUGAUGUGUGUUGACAGCAUCAGCAAGCAAAAUAUGAAUUUUGAGAAGUCCCUGUUAAAUGUUGCCUUUUGCAGUGUGCCUGGAGGGAGAUCAAAUGCGACCUACUUUGGGAAGCUGAAUCCUGGAAACCUGGGGCUCCUGUACAGCAGAACCUGCUGGGUGCUCCUUCUGGUCCUUAAAGAGGGGGAAAUCCUGCAGUGCCAUCCCUGUGACAGGAAAAGCUGGCACUUCCAGCUGCUUGUUAUAUUUGUACAUUUUCUCUUUACCAAUCUGGUCACACACAGUGCACGGAGACAUUCUAUGUGUUGUGUCCCAAACCUCUUUUUAUCUUGUGUUCCAGUCUAUUUUUUAAUACAUUGCUCAGUGUUAAAUGA